RNAcentral lists this long non-coding RNA (591 nucleotides) under Fukomys damarensis (Damara mole-rat). Its description in RNAcentral is "lncRNA (ENSFDAG00000032405.1)". Lineage: Eukaryota; Metazoa; Chordata; Mammalia; Rodentia; Bathyergidae. The record is from RNAcentral.
AAUCGUUGCUUUCAUCUGUUCUCCAGUGUCCAAUAGCAGCAGUGCAAUUUCCGAAUGAAGGUUAUAGAGUCAAGGUGUGACAGCUUCCCAAUUAGGAAAGCUUCUGCUUCUGGGCCACUUUGGGCCUCCCCAAAAGCUACAUCUGAAUCAGAAGAGAAUCGUCCAUCACAUAUCAGUGCUUCUGCGGAGGAUCAGUGCCAGGGAAGCCCACACUGGCUCCAGGCUGGUCUCCGGUCUAACGACAUCCCGUCUCCAGUGAGUCCUGACCUACUUCCUCUUUCACAGGUUUCUAUUUCCCGAUGAUCAAACAACCACAUAAUCAGCUCUGUCAAGUUCUCCACUCGUUGAAUCUACCUGCCUUCUGGGUUCAGACGCAAAGCUCUCCAUCCUCCGCGCGCGGCUCCACCCUGUUCUCAAUCCUGCGUGUGAGGCCAUUUGAAUGAGGAACUUGGUUCAGGCCUCAGCUACAGAACAUUAAUAUUCAUGGCUAGUACUUGUAAAAAACCUUUAUUUCCAUCUUUUGUUUCUGUUGAGGGAGGGGUGUCUUCAAAUGGCCAGAAAUUCCCAAUUCCUGUUUAUUCUAUCCAGGCC